UGCUACACGCCCCACCUCCCCGAAUGUUGGAGCACGCCCCAGAGGAUGAGCCAUUGUGGAGCUGUAACUGACUAUACCCCAUCUUUCUGAUGUGAUAUCAGAGGCCACAGCUGCUUAUCCCAAGUGGCCCUUCUGUGGUAGGUUACAGCCCAGUCCUGCCUCCUUGGGUCUGACAGGAUUUCUGGGCCUCUUUUCCUUGCCUGUGCCAUCUGUAUACUACCUGUGCAUAUGGGUGCAAGAGCCUGUUGCUGUGGUACAUCCUGGGCCUGUGAUACUUGUGUCCUCUGUUGCUGGCUGUUCUGAAGCUCUUCUGGAUGCCCAGACCUUUUGUGAUUCAGUUGAACUCAGCAUCAGCUUGGCCUCUGCUGACUUCCUUGUGUUCCCAUGAUGCGUGGGAAGGACAUUGGCUUGGGAAGGAGACCUGGGUGAGGAUGGCUUCACCGUUACUCC
Long non-coding RNA from Mus musculus (house mouse), 450 nucleotides. RefSeq annotates it as predicted gene, 32168. The record is from RefSeq and is marked validated. NCBI's taxonomy places the organism in Eukaryota, Metazoa, Chordata, Mammalia, Rodentia, Muridae. The transcript has 4 exons.